Molecule: ribosomal RNA, 253 nt
Filed under: uncultured bacterium
Lineage: Bacteria
Description: partial 16S ribosomal RNA
Rfam family: Bacterial small subunit ribosomal RNA
Source: RNAcentral
GACAGAGGUGCCGAGCGUUAGGCGGAAUCACUGGGCUUAAAGCGUGUGUAGGCGGGCGGGCAAGUACCUUGUGAAAUCCCACGGCUCAACCGUGGAACUGCGUGGUAUACUGCCUGUCUUGAGCCAGCUAGGGGCGAGCGGAACAGACGGUGGAGCGGUGAAAUGCGUAGAUAUCGUCUGGAACGCCGAAGGUGAAAACAGCUCGCUGGGGCUGUGCUGACGCUGAGACACGAAAGCCAGGGGAGCGAACGGG